GAUGAAGAACGUAGCGAAAUGCGAUACGUAGUGUGAAUUGCAGAAUUCAGUGAAUCAUCGAAUCUUUGAACGCACAUUGCACCUCUCGGUAUUCCGGGAGGUAUGCCUGUUCGAGCGUCAUUUCAACCAUCAAGCCCUAGGCUUGCGUUGGAGCCCUGCGGCUGCCGCAGGCCCCUAAAAGCAGUGGCGGGCUCGCUAUCACACCGAGUGCAGUAGAUUACUCUUCGCUCAGGGCGUGUGGCGGGUUCCAGCCGUGAAACCCCCUACUUCUCAAGGUUGACCUCGGAUCAGGUAGGAAUACCCGCUGAACUUAAGCAUAUCAAUAAGCGGAGGA
RNAcentral lists this unclassified non-coding RNA (334 nucleotides) under soil metagenome. Its description in RNAcentral is "partial contains 5.8S ribosomal RNA, internal transcribed spacer 2, and large subunit ribosomal RNA". The stretch from base 1 to 120 matches the Rfam family "5.8S ribosomal RNA", at positions 35 to 154 of the family's 154-position model. The record is from RNAcentral.